GUGUCAGCAGCCGCGGUAAGACGAACCGAGCGAACGUUGUUCGGAAUCACUGGGCUUAAAGGGCGCGUAGGCGGGCUGUCAAGUCUGGGGUGAAAUCCCGCGGCUCAACCGUGGAACUGCCUUAGAUACUGACGGCCUCGAGGGAGGUAGGGGCGAGCGGAACUGUGAGUGGAGCGGUGAAAUGCGUUGAUAUUCACAGGAACUCCGGUGGCGAAGGCGGCUCGCUGGACCUCUUCUGACGCUGAGGCGCGAAAGCUAGGGGAGCAAACGGGAUUAGAUACCCCGGUAGUCCUAGCCCUAAACGUUGGGUACUGGGUAGUAGACUAGACAUGGGUUUACUGCCGCAGCAAAAGUGCUAAGUACCCCGCCUGGGGAGUAUGGUCGCAAGGCUGAA
This 394-nucleotide ribosomal RNA is filed under the name uncultured bacterium. Its description in RNAcentral is "bacterial SSU rRNA". It matches the Rfam family "Bacterial small subunit ribosomal RNA", at positions 505 to 898 of the family's 1533-position model. The record is from RNAcentral.